Long non-coding RNA from Nyctereutes procyonoides (raccoon dog), 4377 nucleotides. RefSeq lists it as uncharacterized. The transcript has 3 exons. Lineage: Eukaryota; Metazoa; Chordata; Mammalia; Carnivora; Canidae. The record is from RefSeq and is a predicted model, not a curated record.
GGCAGGCGCUGGGGUUGGCAAGCAAGGGGCCUUACCUUCGAGGCUCGUCCUGGGCGCUGUGAGGCCUGCGGAUCUCUGCACAGGCCAGCAGGUCUCUGCAUCUGCUGCAGGGUCUCUGCACCUGCUGGAGGGUCUCUGCACCUGCGGGUGGGUCUCUGCACCUGCGGGCUGAUCUCUGCACUUGCCGGCGGGUCUCUGCACCUGCAGGGGGAACCCUGAGUCUACAGAGAGACCCUAGCAGGCCGGGCCACAUCUACAGACAGAGGGUCUCCACCCCGCCUCACCCUCCAGCCUGCUUCCUCACCCGGGCUCCCACCCCCGGGGGCCGGGUCACCAGCCCCUUUUCCCUCUGGCUGACCUCCCGCAUCACCUUCUCAGCGGCCAGGCCCGGCUUGGUCCCCAGCGCUGGGGCCCCUUUGUGGGUUGGGCACGGAUCACGGGCAGGCAGCGGGGGCCCCAGCGGGGCGCCCACCCAGGAGGCUGCGGGUCUAGGGUGCGCAGAGGCCUCGCGGGUCGCCCCCCCACACCUGACUCUCCCCGGGCCCAGCUCACAGGGCAGCCGCUGGUCUUGUGCUUCUCCAAUCAGCCGCUGCUGGCUCCAUUUUACAGACAAGAACAGUGACACGUGGACGCUUGACAGCUUUAUAUUUACCCAGAAGACUCGUUGAGGCUCUAAGAUGGGAUCUUGGCGUUCCCCUCACCUCAUCUCUUUCUUCAUACGAAUCCCGAUGGCUUCAUUCUCGGAGCGGAACUCUCCAAGUGGAAACGGAGCACUGACUUCUGGGGGGUGGCUGGUAUCAUUUACACCCUCCGUGCUGACUCCCCAAAGCUGUCAUGCAAAAUAUGGCUUCUUGGGGACCCUGGGAUCCAGCAUUGUGACUCUGCAUGGGACAUCUUCUACAUAUCCCCUGUUGUGAUAAAGCAACCAUUCGUGAAGAGCUGUUCUCCUACCUGGAGGGAAUUGGCUGCUUCCUACCACCAGUCUGUGAUCUCCAGAUACAUCUAUCAACACAUUCGGCUUAAAUGAGCCCAGAUGUCCAGCUCCUUAGGUUGACUUGCUAGCAUCCAGUCUCCUUGGCACAGGGCCUGGCUAGAUGCUAAUGCCUGAGUCGGUAACUCCCCCUUCCUUAACCAGCACCAACCCCUUUGGAACAACUUAGACUUUAUCCUAACAUGUUUAUUCAAGCCCAGCCUUGCUGCGCUCACUACCAUUCUGUUUCAUCAGACCAGUGUUGCAUCCCAUGCUCCAGUUUUUCAUGUAUUGAUGCCAUAUUUUAAACCCCAGAGGGUGACCUUAUUUUCUGUCCCUUCAGGGAGGGGGCCACUCAAGCUUGCCAUUCUAUCCCAUCUGCAGAAUAAAUCAUACAAACUGAAUAGACCUAGUGAGAUUAUAAAGCCAAAGCCAAAAUGUAUUUUGCCCAAAGUCAUUCUAGACCAAAGACAAUUCACAGACAGUGAAAUGAAUAUUUUUCCUUUACUUUUAUGAUCUGAAAGAUUUAUGGACCAUGACUUUAAAAGCCUAUUUAAGUUGUGUAGAAGAAUGCCCUGAUUUUUUAGAUAUAUGCUGAAGAAUUCAGAAAUGAAGUGUCAUGAUGUCUGCAACUUACUUUCAACUGGGUCAGCAAAAAGCACAUAUGCAUAUACAUAUAUGGAGAUAGGUAGACAUCAGGCAAAUUUAAGUGGUAUGUGUAUUAGACAUUCAGACAAUUACACAUUGUACUAGUCUUGCAACACUUCUCUAUGUUUGAAAAUAAUAUAUUGUUGGAAGGAAAUUCUAGCUGUGUUUUAAUUCCAUUUUGUGCAUCCAAAGGAGUAUUUGUUCUUUUCUUCUGUUAUGUUGACUUUAACCAUUUUGAUGUAUGGAAACUUUCACUAGAAUUGCCUUCCACCAUGCACUUAUAUUUUUGUUUAAUUCUUUUAUCCUCAUAACCAUUUUGUCCAACCUUCUUCUUAGAGCAUAGAUUUACUUUCUGCUUUUAGUGUAAUUUGACAUUUAAUAAGAGUAGGCUUCCUUUGGCUGUGUCUUUUCACCGAUGUCUUAAUAAAUCAAACUAUCUCUAGCCUCUGUGAUUAAGCCUACCCAACGCUCCAUUUCCCAUUAGGAUGGGAAUGUCUGUAACUCUCCCCCUGCCAGGCUGCCACAGAAUAACAUUGCAUUGUGAUUGUGACCUAGAAGUUGCAUGGAAUUAGAUCAAACUCAAUUUGGCCCUCUUUGAUUUGGGCCUCCUAACAUAAUUUUCUAGUGUUUGACCCAAUAAAGAUCAUGAAGUGGAGAAUUUGAGAAAACCUGAUUACUGAAGGGUUUUUUGUUGAUGUUGUUUGACUUGGUUUGUUUUUACUUAAUAGAAAUCAAAAGGACUAGUAGAAGACGUUUAAAGAAAUGACACUGCAUGGGGGGACAUUACCAUGGGACAAGACACAUCAGAAUCAACCGACCAGAAAGGCACCUUGGUGCUACUCCUCGGAGAGGACACAGCUGAACAGGAAGGACACUGAUCUCGCAGAGAGAAACAGAAAGAGGAUAAUUGCCGUGUUAGUAACCUACUUCUCAGAUGAGUUACUUCUCUGAGCAUAUCCGCAUUAAUGGAUGAUGGUGGCUUUGGAUCCCCUAGAGGUAGCGAGGUCUUAUCAUCAGAGAAAACAUUGACCGAAAGAAGUUCCACUGAAGAUUUGCCGACUCACUUAAUCCUCAUAACAGUGCUUUAAGGUUAAUAGAAUUAGCCUCAAGUUUCACAUGCAGAAACCGAGGCUCAGAGAUUUGAGUAAUUUGCUGAAUAAAGCUGGUUAGUGACACGGAUGGAUCAUCACAUGGGUCUUUUGGACUCGAAAUCUCAUACUCCAUGCUGUCUUUCCUCUCUUCCCUAACACUCUCUUCAUACACACUCUGUUUUGGCACGCACCUGUUGAUGGACACUUGGUUGUUUCUACAUGUGUGUAUUAUGAAUCAUGCUGCUAUGAACAUUCAUGGCCAAGUUUGUAUGUGACCAUACAUUCUCAGUUCUCUUGGGUAUGGAUGUGGGAGUGGAAUUACUGGGUCAAUUGGUCACUUUACAUUUAACUUUUUGACAUGCUGCCAAACUGAUUCCCAGAGCAGCUUCACUAUUUUAUUUUCCCACCAGCAGUGGACAAGGGCUCCGAUUUCUUCACAUUCUUGCCAGCAGUGGUAAUCGCGUCUUCUGAUCAUAAUCAUCUGGUGGGUGUGCAAUAGUAUUUCAUUGUGAGUUUAACUUGCAUUUCCUUAAUGACAAAUGAUGCUGAGUGUAUUUUCCUGUGUUUGCUGGUCAUUCGUAGAUCUUCUGUGGAGAAAUGUGUAUUCAAGUCUUUUGUCAACUUUUAAUCAGGUUACUUUUUAUUGUUGAGUUUUAAGAGUUCUUUAUAGAGUCUGACUACUCUUACCAGAUCUAUGAUUUGCAAAUAUUUUUCCCCAUCCUGUGGCUUUGUUUUUACUUUCUCAACAGUGUCCUUUGACACACAAAAAAAUGUUUAAUUUUGAUGAAGUUCAAUGCAUUUAUUUCAUCUAUUUUUCAUGAAGAUAGACACCUAUGUUUUAAGAGUUUUAUUGUUUUAACUCUUACAUUUAGGUCUUUGAUCCAUUUUGAGUUAAUUUUUUAUAUGGUGUCAGAUAGGGGUCCAUGUUCAUUCUUCUGCAUGUGGACAUCAGUUGUCCCAGUGCCAUUUGUUGAAGAGACUGUUCUUUUCCCAAUGAAUAGUCUUGAUAUCCUUGUCAAAUAUUUCCAAAAUUUGCUUUUUUUCUAAGAUUUAUUUAUUCAUAACAGACAGAGAGAGAGAGAGAGAGGCAGAGACACAGGCAGAGGGAGAAGCAGGCUCCAUGCAGGGAGCCCUGAUACUCCAGGAUCAGGCCUUGAGCCAAAGACAGACACAUUCAACUGCUGAGCCACCCAGGUGUCCCCCAAAUUUGUUUUUAUACCUUCUUCCAGUUCCCUUUUUUUAGUAGGAGAUUUAUAUACAGCAGAUAUGGUUUGGAUAUAAAAAUAAGCAAGCAAAUAUAAAUAUGUAUAUAAACAUACACACACAUACGUAUAUAUCAUAUACAGUUGACCUCGAACAAUGCAGGUUUAGGGGCACUGACCUCUUCCCUCCCAUGUAGUAGAAAAUCCACACCUAAAUUUUGACUACCCAAAACCUUGACUACUAAUAGUCUACUGUUGAUCAGAGACCUUACCAAUAGCACAGUUGACUAACACAUAUUUUGUAUAGUGUACGUCUUAUAUACUAUAUUAUUACAAAAGUAGUAAAAGUAAGCUAGAGAAAAGAAAGGAAAAUGUUAUUAAGAAAAUCACAAGAAAGGGAAAAUACAUGUGUAGCACUGAACUGUAUUUAUUGAAAAAAAUUUGCCUAUAAGUGGACUCAUGCAUU